Molecule: long non-coding RNA, 1450 nt
Organism: Spinacia oleracea (spinach)
Lineage: Eukaryota; Viridiplantae; Streptophyta; Magnoliopsida; Caryophyllales; Amaranthaceae
Exons: 3
Source: RefSeq, a predicted model, not a curated record
GUUUUGCAAAACCAUUAGCAUGAGCUCAUGGCUUACGUGAUUUCUCCCUUCCAAACUCCCUAUAAAUACUCAUGAAAUCUGCUCAUACUCCUCACUCAACCAAAUUCGAUUUACAGAAAAAUAAGUACAAGAUAUUAGCUACACAAAUUCCCGUAACUAUCCUCUGUUUUCACGUAUCACCACCAUUGUCACCACCGCGGCACCGCCGCUUGUGCAACCUACUGCCACCAUAAACACCUCCUCUCAUUAACUAAAACAAUGUAAAACCAUUAUCCAUAAUGUAAAAGCUAAAUUGUAGCAACCCAUCGUCGAACCCGCAACCCGAAAGUCACAUUACCCCUCUCUCUUUCCUCACUGAUGCGGACCACCACCAUCACCGCCUAGGCGAAACCUUCUGCCUCCGUUCCUUCGACCACCACCUCCCUGUGUCACCCUAUUCGAGUUAUUGCUAAGUGUUAACUCACGCAAGUCUCUUAGCCUCACCUCUCCUUUUCUUGGUUCUGUUCGUACUUUAAUGUGAAGCCAUGAGAUUGGAUUUUCUUUGCCCAAACCCAAUUGAAUAAGUUGCUCAUAUUUUAAAACAAAAGUCAACUUUCCUUACCAACCACUUAAGCUAAAUUGGUGAUCGGAGCUCAGAAGAACGAUCCAUCGAACAGGAAGUAUAAACUACGGUUGAGGUACGAAGAAGAUCAUGGGAUGCCUUAGAGUGAGGAUGCAACCAUCAAAUUCACGAUCGAUGUUUAAUAAAGAUAACUAUGUCAUUAGUAAUAAAGCGAUGUAUUAAUUAAACUCUAAGUUUGAUUUCACGAUUUGAGUUAGAUUUUUAAAUUAAUGUCUAAACUUGUUAGAAAUAUUUAUUAAGGUUUACUUAGAUUUCAAUGUAAAUUUUAAAGAAUUAAUGGAAGUGAAGCAUAAUUACUGUUACUCAAUAGUAGUCAGUAAACGUAAAAAGGUUAUGUCGCCUUGUAUUUCCCACGAGGGAGAUACGGCAGUGACGCUCCGACUAAAUUAGGGUUUCCGCUGCUAAUUAAAGAUAAUUAACCUAAUUAAUGGUGUUUAGAAGUCGGGGUGUUACAAAAACAAACACGUUUCCCAUACGUGUCAUCGCUAGCGCUAGUUUGAAAAUUUCAAAGAUUAAAAUAUUUCAUGUCCCGCUUUCACACACCCACGAAAUCCUCAACCUCCUCUUUACUCUCAACCGACUCGCCCUGAACCCUCACUCUAUUCUUCACCAAAGUCCUAAAUUAUUCUCAACCGAUUAAUCUCCUCAACCCUAUUCUCUCUCAUCACAUAAAUGGGGAAUAUGGAGAAUUUCAUUAUCCUUAAUUAUAUAAGCUUCUUUGGAUGUGGAUAGGGAUGUCGCUUAGGUAUCGGAAUUGUAAUAUCGAAAACUUAUUACGAACCCGAUCAGAGCGUCAUCAAUAAAGCCAUCAACAGGGAAGUCACUCCU